Molecule: long non-coding RNA, 2824 nt
Organism: Papio anubis (olive baboon)
Lineage: Eukaryota; Metazoa; Chordata; Mammalia; Primates; Cercopithecidae
Source: Ensembl
GCCACAUUUUCUUAAUCCAGUCUGUCAGUGAUGGACAUUUCGGUUGAUUCCAAGUCUUUGCUAUUGUGAAUAGUGCCACAAUAAACAUACAUGUGUAUGUGUCUUUACAGCAGCAUGAUUUAUAAUCCUUUGGGUAUAUCCCCAGUAAUGGGAUGGCUGGGUCAUAUGGUAUUUCUAGUUCUAGAUCCUUAAGGAAUGGCCAUACUGUUUUCCACAAUGGUUGAACUAGUUUACAAUCCCACCAACAGUGUAAAAGUGUUCCUAUUUCUCCACAUCCCCUCCAGCACCUGUUGUUUCCUGACUUUUUAAUGAUCGCCAUUCUAACUGGUGUGACAUGGUAUCUCAUUGUGGUUUUGAUAUGCAUUUCUCUGAUGGCCAGUGAUGAUGAGCAUUUUUUCAUGUGUCUCUUGGCUGCACGCACGUCUUCUUUUGAGAAAUGUCUGUUCAUAUCCUUUGCCCACUUUUUGAUGGGGUUUUUUCUUUUCUUUUUUGUUUCCUCCCUAGUUUAUUUCCAAAACUAGCCAGAAAGAUUCAAUGACCCUCUUAGAAUUGCUUGAAUUGGCAAGAUCUUGUCUAAUUGGAACCACUCUGAACCUCUCACCACCACCAACAGCAUCCCCAGAGGUACAUCUCUGGCUUAUGAGGUUGUUGUUCCUGAGUGUUGCUCCCACCCUGUAGCCUUGAAAGGGCUAAUCUAGGAGAUCACUGGUAACUGCAUAUAAGUUGACAUUCCCUGACCAGUCACUAACUGGAACUUCUUUACAUCCUCUGGGAAGUGGAAAUGGGUCUGCUCCCUGAUGUAUCAGGAGCUCCUUCUCCCAAAAGAAUCUUUGUCUAAAUCCAGCAGAGGGUAGGGGUGCAUAAUUGCCUCAAAGAGUAAGUAUUACAAGAGCUAGUUAGUAUGAGGAACACGAUCAGAGUGUAAUCUGUUUCACUAUUGUAUUAGGAUUCUCCAGAGAACAGAAUCAUAGGGGUGGGUGUGUGUGUGUGUGUGUGUGUGUGUGUGUACGAAGAGAGAGAUUUCUUUUUUUUUUUUAUUUUUUUUAAUUAUACUUUAAGUUCUAGGGUACAUGUGCACAACGUGAAGGUUUGUUACAUAUGUAUACAUGUGCCAUGUUGGUGUGCUACACCCAUUAACUCAUCAUUUACAUUAGGUAUAUCUCUUAAUACUAUCCCUCCCCCUACCCCCUCCCCACAAUAGGACCCGGUGUGUGAUGAUCCCCUUCCUGUGUCCAAGUGAUCUCAUUGUUCAAUUCCCACCUAUAAGUGAGAACAUGUGGUAUUUGGUUUUCUGCUCUUGCAAUAGUUGGCUGAGAAUGAUGGUUUCCAGCUGCAUCCAUGUCCCUACAAAGGACACAAACUCAUCCUUUUUUAUGGCUGCAUAGUAUUCCAUGGUGUAUAUAUGCCACAUUUUCUUAAUCCAGUCUGUCACUGAUGGAUAUUUGGGUUGAUUCCAAGUCUUUGCUAUUGUGAAUAGUGCCACAAUAAACAUACGUGUGCAUGUGUCUUUAUAGCAGCAUGAUUUAUAAUCCUUUGGGUAUAUCCCCAGUAAUGGGAUGGCUGGGUCAAAUGGUACUUCUAGUUCUAGAUCCUUGAGGAAUCGUCACACUGUUUUCCACAAUGGUUGAACUAGUUUACAAUCCCACCAACAGUGUAAAAGUGUUCCUAUUUCUCCACAUCCUCUCCAGCACCUGUUGUUUCCUGAUUUUUUAAUGAUUGCCAUUCUAACUGGUGUGAGAUGGUAUCUCAUUGUGGUUUUGAUUAGCAUUUCUCUGAUGGCCAGUGAUGAUGAGCAUUUUUUCAUGUGUCUGUUGGCUGUAUGAAUGUCUUCUUUUGAGAAAUGUCUGUUCAUAUCCUUUGCCCACUUUUUGAUGGGGUUGUUUUUCUCUUGUAAAUUUGAUUGAGUUUUUUAUAGGUUCUGGAUAUUAGCCCCUUGUCAGAUGAGUAGAUUGUGAAAAUUUUCUCCCAUUCUGUAGGUUGCCUGUUCACUCUGAUGGUAGUUUCCUUUGCUGUGCAGAAGCUCUUUAGUUUAAUUAGAUCUCAUUUGUCAAUUUUGGCUUUUGUUGCUGUUGCUUUUGGUGUUUUAGACAUGAAGUCCUUGCCCAUGCCUAUGUCCUGAAUGGUAUUACCUAGGUUUUCUUCUAGGGUUUUUAUGGUAUUAGGUCUAAUAUUUAAGUCUCUAAUCCAUCUUAAAUUAAUUUUCAUAUAAGGAGUAAGGAAAGGGUCCAGUUUCAGCUUUCUACUUAUGGCUAGCCAAUUUUCCCAGCACCAUUUAUUAAAUAGGGAAUCCUUUCCCCAUUGCUUGUUUUUGUCAGGUUUGUCAAAGAUCAGAUGGCUAUAGAUGUGUGGUAUUAUUUCUGAGGGCUCUGUUCUGUUCCAUUGGUCUAUAUCUCUGUUUUGGUACCAGUACCAUGCUGUUUUGGUUACUGUAGCCUUGUAGUAUAGUUUGAAGUCAGGUAGCGUGAUGCCUCCAGCUUUGUUCUUUUGGCUUAGGAUUGUCUUGGCAAUGUGGGGUCUUUUUUGGUUCCAUAUGAACUUUAAAGCAGUUUUUUCCAAUUCUGUGUAGAAAGUCAUUGGUAGCUUAAUGGGGAUGGCAUUGAAUCUAUAAAUUACCUUGGGCAGUAUGGCCAGAGAGAUUUAUUUUAAUGAAUAGGCUCACAAGGUUGUGGAGGCCUGGAAAGUCCAAAAUCUGCAGGGUAGGCUAACAGUCCCUCAACCCAGAGAAGGGUUGCAGUUUGAGUCCAAAGGCAAUCUGCUAGCAGAAUUUCUUCUUUCUUUAGAGCAGAUAGGUCUUUUUCUUAAGACCUCAACUGAUUGGAUAUUG